RNAcentral lists this ribosomal RNA (253 nucleotides) under uncultured bacterium. Its description in RNAcentral is "partial 16S ribosomal RNA". It matches the Rfam family "Bacterial small subunit ribosomal RNA", at positions 524 to 776 of the family's 1533-position model. The record is from RNAcentral.
UACGUAGGGGGCAAGCGUUGUCCGGAUUUAUUGGGCGUAAAGAGCGUGUAGGCGGCCAGAUAGGUCUGUUGUGAAAACUCGAGGCUCAACCUCGAGACGCCGAUGGAAACCAUUUGGCUAGAGUCCGGAAGAGGAGAGUGGAAUUCCUGGUGUAGCGGUGAAAUGCGCAGAUAUCAGGAAGAACACCCGUGGCUAAGGCGGCCCCCUGGUUGGAUACUGACGCUGAGACGCGAAAGCGUGGGGAGCAAACAGG